UUUACAGUCAGAGCCGAAAGUAUGACUUGGCACGUAGUUCACCUAGCGAUGGCAGCCGAAAGUGCUAAUGCCGGUGGGCGGUGUGCGGCAAGGGGCGUGGCAGGUGACUGGAGGCCAAGGCAGACUUGUCGUUAACAUAUUGUGGCAUAUUUAUUUUCUUUCCUGCCGCCAACAUUCACGUUGCCCGUCAAAUUCGCCAAGCUGACGCAAAAUGUUUAAUUAAAUUUUGAGCAGCAUUACUUAAAAAUGGUAUGUUACCUUUGAUAGGGUAAACAAAUUCCACGAAUGGUCUAAAAGUGUGCCGGGAAAAGGAGUGGAAGAAGCGGACGAGAAAAAAAAGGAAAACAGUCGAAGUAAACGAAUUUCUUUCGUACGUGCCUGACAUUUCAUUGUUUUCGUUGCGGAAGAAAGAACGCAGUUAGAAAGCAGGUGAAAGGGCGGAGAAAGUGGGCUUCGAAUGAACGGAAGGUUGGGUCGAGAACUCACGCACCAUCCUGUUCGGAGCAACCUUCAGAUGUCGCCUCUAAACGGCGUCGAUGUCGAUACACGUACGUCAUCUUCAUGUGGCCUAUACCUAUACCCUAACUUCUACGAUUGGUAAUUAACCGAAAAUAUUUAAAAAAAAAAUGUUCUUUAAUUGGUAAAAUAAAUAUUAUGCAGUCCGAAGUAUAAGAAAA
Molecule: non-coding RNA, 677 nt
Organism: Drosophila melanogaster (fruit fly)
Lineage: Eukaryota; Metazoa; Arthropoda; Insecta; Diptera; Drosophilidae
Source: Ensembl